UAAAGUUUUUUCUCCUCUCCUUUUGUUUUAAAGAAAAUUGUUUUUUCUCCUCUAUAAUUUUUGUUAUAAAUUUUAUGGGCAAUCUUCUUCAUUUGAGCUAAAGCUCUAUACUCUCACCCGAUUACGGAGGCUAACCGUUUCCGGGGGCUUUUACCGCUAGGGGGAACCAUUUGCGCCAGGGCGAUAGACGGGUUCUCAAUCUUCUAGGAAAUGAUUAGAGUUGAUAUAAAUAUGCUCUGUCAACUAAUAUGCCUAGUUACAGGAGAUGUGAUGAAUCAAUGCCCUGGAAAAUCAAAUCAAGAGGACCCACAGCCCAGCUACCCCUGUUGCAGCACGCGAGAUGUCCAGCUACCCCUGUUGCGGCACAUCUCAGCCCAGCUACCCCUGUUGCAGCACACGAGAUGUCCAGCUACCCCUGUUGCGGCACAUCUCAGCCCAACUACCCCUGUUGCGGCACGCGAGAUGUGUUGCGCGCUCAUCUUGAGCUGUGGGUCCUACACCCCUGUUGCGGCACGCGAGAUGGGUUGCGCGUCCAUCUUACGUACCAAAAAGCAUUUUUGGUUUUUAUAAGAGGUUCCGGGGAAAAAAUUUCCUUCUACCCCUCACUAUCACAAGAGUUGCAACUUAUGAUAUUUUUUAUAGCUAAUAACGAGAAGUUGUGUCUUAUGAUAUUUCGUAUUUGUAUAGUUAUUGAUUAAUCCUUUGUAAUUAACAUAACUUUCUAUAUAUAUGUGUCAUAAAAUA
This is a long non-coding RNA of Asparagus officinalis (garden asparagus), 744 nucleotides long. RefSeq lists it as uncharacterized. The record is from RefSeq and is a predicted model, not a curated record. Lineage: Eukaryota; Viridiplantae; Streptophyta; Magnoliopsida; Asparagales; Asparagaceae. The transcript is spliced from 3 exons.